CCUACGGGAGGCAGCAGUAGGGAAUCUUUCACAAUGGGCGAAAGCCUGAUGGAGCAACGCCGCGUGCAGGAUGAAGGCCUUCGGGAUGUAAACUGCUUUUAUAAGGGAGAAAAAUGAUGGUAACUGAUGAAUAAGGAGCGGCUAACGACGUGCCAGCAGCCGCGGACAUACGUAUGAGCCGAGCAUUAUCCGGGGUGACAGGGUGUUAAGAGUUGCGUAGGUGGACUAAUCAGUUGCUAGUGAAAUCUGGUGGCUCAACCAUUCAGACUAUUAGCUAAACUGUUAAGAUCGAGUCCAUUAGAGGUAACUGGAAUUUCUAGUGUAGGCGUGAAAUCCUUAGAUAUUAG
This 347-nucleotide ribosomal RNA is filed under the name uncultured bacterium. RNAcentral's name for it is "partial 16S ribosomal RNA". It matches the Rfam family "Bacterial small subunit ribosomal RNA", at positions 338 to 700 of the family's 1533-position model. The record is from RNAcentral.